RNAcentral lists this long non-coding RNA (247 nucleotides) under Prunus persica (peach). RNAcentral describes it as "long non-coding RNA (PPER_LNC004971)". Lineage: Eukaryota; Viridiplantae; Streptophyta; Magnoliopsida; Rosales; Rosaceae. The record is from RNAcentral.
AAAAUAAUUUUGGUCAUCAUAAUUUUAAUUUUUCAAUUUUGAAUACUGUAUUUGCAAUAGUUAGCAAAUCAUGUCAAAUGCCACAAUUCAGUUAGUUUCAUUAAUUAAAAAAUAAUUACUUCAAUAUAAAAUUUAAUAUUUCAAACAAAUUUAGAUAUUAAAAUUUUCAGUUGUUAAUUAAUUUGAAAAUAAAUAUUUUUCUUUUGUCCAUGUGGACGUCCAUUGCAUCAAAAAAUGCCACAUCAGC